GCCCCUGUGGCCAAGUUGGUAAGGCAGCGGACUUUUAAUCCGACGAUCGCCGGUUCGAGUCCGGCCGGGGGCA
RNAcentral lists this transfer RNA (73 nucleotides) under Actinomycetes bacterium. Its description in RNAcentral is "tRNA-Lys". It matches the Rfam family "tRNA". Rfam says of the family: Transfer RNA (tRNA) molecules are approximately 80 nucleotides in length. Their secondary structure includes four short double-helical elements and three loops (D, anti-codon, and T loops). Lineage: Bacteria; Bacillati; Actinomycetota; Actinomycetes. The record is from RNAcentral. RNAcentral also lists the same sequence under 1 other name.